GAUGAACGCUGGCGGCGUGCCUAAUACAUGCAAGUCGAGCGAACGGACGAGAAGCUUGCUUCUCUGAUGUUAGCGGCGGACGGGUGAGUAACACGUGGAUAACCUACCUAUAAGACUGGGAUAACUUCGGGAAACCGGAGCUAAUACCGGAUAAUAUUUUGAACCGCAUGGUUCAAAAGUAAAAGACGGUCUUGCUGUCACUUAUAGAUGGAUCCGCGCUGCAUUAGCUAGUUGGUAAGGUAACGGCUUACCAAGGCAACGAUGCAUAGCCGACCUGAGAGGGUGAUCGGCCACACUGGAACUGAGACACGGUCCAGACUCCUACGGGAGGCAGCAGUAGGGAAUCUUCCGCAAUGGGCGAAAGCCUGACGGAGCAACGCCGCGUGAGUGAUGAAGGUCUUCGGAUCGUAAAACUCUGUUAUUAGGGAAGAAUAUAUGUGUAAGUAACUGUGCACAUCUUGACGGUACCUAAUCAGAAAGCCACGGCUAACUACGUGCCAGCAGCCGCGGUAAUACGUAGGUGGCAAGCGUUAUCCGGAAUUAUUGGGCGUAAAGCGCGCGUAGGCGGUUUUUUAAGUCUGAUGUGAAAGCCCACGGCUCAACCGUGGAGGGUCAUUGGAAACUGGAAAACUUGAGUGCAGAAGAGGAAAGUGGAAUUCCAUGUGUAGCGGUGAAAUGCGCAGAGAUAUGGAGGAACACCAGUGGCGAAGGCGACUUUCUGGUCUGUAACUGACGCUGAUGUGCGAAAGCGUGGGGAUCAAACAGGAUUAGAUACCCUGGUAGUCCACGCCGUAAACGAUGAGUGCUAAGUGUUAGGGGGUUUCCGCCCCUUAGUGCUGCAGCUAACGCAUUAAGCACUCCGCCUGGGGAGUACGACCGCAAGGUUGAAACUCAAAGGAAUUGACGGGGACCCGCACAAGCGGUGGAGCAUGUGGUUUAAUUCGAAGCAACGCGAAGAACCUUACCAAAUCUUGACAUCCUUUGACAACUCUAGAGAUAGAGCCUUCCCCUUCGGGGGACAAAGUGACAGGUGGUGCAUGGUUGUCGUCAGCUCGUGUCGUGAGAUGUUGGGUUAAGUCCCGCAACGAGCGCAACCCUUAAGCUUAGUUGCCAUCAUUAAGUUGGGCACUCUAAGUUGACUGCCGGUGACAAACCGGAGGAGGGUGGGGAUGACGUCAAAUCAUCAUGCCCCUUAUGAUUUGGGCUACACACGUGCUACAAUGGACAAUACAAAGGGCAGCGAAACCGCGAGGUCAAGCAAAUCCCAUAAAGUUGUUCUCAGUUCGGAUUGUAGUCUGCAACUCGACUACAUGAAGCUGGAAUCGCUAGUAAUCGUAGAUCAGCAUGCUACGGUGAAUACGUUCCCGGGUCU
This 1372-nucleotide ribosomal RNA is filed under the name uncultured bacterium. Its description in RNAcentral is "bacterial SSU rRNA". It matches the Rfam family "Bacterial small subunit ribosomal RNA", at positions 28 to 1381 of the family's 1533-position model. The record is from RNAcentral.